Molecule: ribosomal RNA, 1036 nt
Filed under: Salmonella enterica subsp. enterica
Lineage: Bacteria; Pseudomonadati; Pseudomonadota; Gammaproteobacteria; Enterobacterales; Enterobacteriaceae
Description: partial 23S ribosomal RNA
Rfam family: Bacterial large subunit ribosomal RNA
Source: RNAcentral
GGGUUGUGAGGUUAAGCGACUAAGCGUACACGGUGGAUGCCCUGGCAGUCAGAGGCGAUGAAGGACGUGCUAAUCUGCGAUAAGCGCCGGUAAGGUGAUAUGAACCGUUAUAACCGGCGAUUUCCGAAUGGGGAAACCCAGUGUGAUUCGUCACACUAUCAUUAACUGAAUCCAUAGGUUAAUGAGGCGAACCGGGGGAACUGAAACAUCUAAGUACCCCGAGGAAAAGAAAUCAACCGAGAUUCCCCCAGUAGCGGCGAGCGAACGGGGAGGAGCCCAGAGCCUGAAUCAGCAUGUGUGUUAGUGGAAGCGUCUGGAAAGGCGCGCGAUACAGGGUGACAGCCCCGUACACAAAAGCGCAUGUGCUGUGAGCUCGAUGAGUAGGGCGGGACACGUGGUAUCCUGUCUGAAUAUGGGGGGACCAUCCUCCAAGGCUAAAUACUCCUGACUGACCGAUAGUGAACCAGUACCGUGAGGGAAAGGCGAAAAGAACCCCGGCGAGGGGAGUGAAAAAGAACCUGAAACCGUGUACGUACAAGCAGUGGGAGCCCCACCACUAAGCCAGUGGUGAACUCCACAUACGCAUCCUUUGCUGAGGAUACGGUUAACGGAGCGAAAGCGACGUUCAACCUCAAAAGAAGCAGAGGGGGCUUAGUGGUGGGGUGACUGCGUACCUUUUGUAUAAUGGGUCAGCGACUUAUAUUCUGUAGCAAGGUUAACCGUAUAGGGGAGCCGGAGGGAAACCGAGUCUUAAUUGGGCGUUAAGUUGCAGGGUAUAGACCCGAAACCCGGUGAUCUAGCCAUGGGCAGGUUGAAGGUUGGGUAACACUAACUGGAGGACCGAACCGACUAAUGUUGAAAAAUUAGCGGAUGACCUGUGGCUGGGGGUGAAAGGCCAAUCAAACCGGGAGAUAGCUGGUUCUCCCCGAAAGCUAUUUAGGUAGCGCCUCGUGAAUUCAUCUUCGGGGGUAGAGCACUGUUUCGGCUAGGGGGUCAUCCCGACUUACCAACCCGAUGCAAACUGCGAAUACCGGAG